This 1377-nucleotide ribosomal RNA is filed under the name Lactiplantibacillus plantarum. RNAcentral describes it as "bacterial SSU rRNA". It matches the Rfam family "Bacterial small subunit ribosomal RNA", at positions 64 to 1429 of the family's 1533-position model. The record is from RNAcentral. Lineage: Bacteria; Bacillati; Bacillota; Bacilli; Lactobacillales; Lactobacillaceae.
GUGCUUGCAUCAUGAUUUACAUUUGAGUGAGUGGCGAACUGGUGAGUAACACGUGGGAAACCUGCCCAGAAGCGGGGGAUAACACCUGGAAACAGAUGCUAAUACCGCAUAACAACUUGGACCGCAUGGUCCGAGUUUGAAAGAUGGCUUCGGCUAUCACUUUUGGAUGGUCCCGCGGCGUAUUAGCUAGAUGGUGGGGUAACGGCUCACCAUGGCAAUGAUACGUAGCCGACCUGAGAGGGUAAUCGGCCACAUUGGGACUGAGACACGGCCCAAACUCCUACGGGAGGCAGCAGUAGGGAAUCUUCCACAAUGGACGAAAGUCUGAUGGAGCAACGCCGCGUGAGUGAAGAAGGGUUUCGGCUCGUAAAACUCUGUUGUUAAAGAAGAACAUAUCUGAGAGUAACUGUUCAGGUAUUGACGGUAUUUAACCAGAAAGCCACGGCUAACUACGUGCCAGCAGCCGCGGUAAUACGUAGGUGGCAAGCGUUGUCCGGAUUUAUUGGGCGUAAAGCGAGCGCAGGCGGUUUUUUAAGUCUGAUGUGAAAGCCUUCGGCUCAACCGAAGAAGUGCAUCGGAAACUGGGAAACUUGAGUGCAGAAGAGGACAGUGGAACUCCAUGUGUAGCGGUGAAAUGCGUAGAUAUAUGGAAGAACACCAGUGGCGAAGGCGGCUGUCUGGUCUGUAACUGACGCUGAGGCUCGAAAGUAUGGGUAGCAAACAGGAUUAGAUACCCUGGUAGUCCAUACCGUAAACGAUGAAUGCUAAGUGUUGGAGGGUUUCCGCCCUUCAGUGCUGCAGCUAACGCAUUAAGCAUUCCGCCUGGGGAGUACGGCCGCAAGGCUGAAACUCAAAGGAAUUGACGGGGGCCCGCACAAGCGGUGGAGCAUGUGGUUUAAUUCGAAGCUACGCGAAGAACCUUACCAGGUCUUGACAUACUAUGCAAAUCUAAGAGAUUAGACGUUCCCUUCGGGGACAUGGAUACAGGUGGUGCAUGGUUGUCGUCAGCUCGUGUCGUGAGAUGUUGGGUUAAGUCCCGCAACGAGCGCAACCCUUAUUAUCAGUUGCCAGCAUUAAGUUGGGCACUCUGGUGAGACUGCCGGUGACAAACCGGAGGAAGGUGGGGAUGACGUCAAAUCAUCAUGCCCCUUAUGACCUGGGCUACACACGUGCUACAAUGGAUGGUACAACGAGUUGCGAACUCGCGAGAGUAAGCUAAUCUCUUAAAGCCAUUCUCAGUUCGGAUUGUAGGCUGCAACUCGCCUACAUGAAGUCGGAAUCGCUAGUAAUCGCGGAUCAGCAUGCCGCGGUGAAUACGUUCCCGGGCCUUGUACACACCGCCCGUCACACCAUGAGAGUUUGUAACACCCAAAGUCG